GCCUGUGUAGUUCAGUGGUUAGAGUGUCAGCCUGCACACUGGAGGAUCACGGGUUCAAUUCCCAGUCGAGGGCA
RNAcentral lists this transfer RNA (74 nucleotides) under Myotis lucifugus (little brown bat). It matches the Rfam family "tRNA". From Rfam's summary of the family: Transfer RNA (tRNA) molecules are approximately 80 nucleotides in length. The record is from Rfam by way of RNAcentral. Lineage: Eukaryota; Metazoa; Chordata; Mammalia; Chiroptera; Vespertilionidae.